RNAcentral lists this long non-coding RNA (1421 nucleotides) under Amphibalanus amphitrite. Its description in RNAcentral is "uncharacterized LOC122385622, transcript variant X2". The record is from RNAcentral. Lineage: Eukaryota; Metazoa; Arthropoda; Thecostraca; Balanomorpha; Balanidae.
CAUGUAUAUCAAGAGUGAAAUCUUUCCAUACUGUGCAGUGAUCGAUGAGAUCUGAGCUACACGGCUGGACAGGGUCCGGUCGAAGCCCGGUGCCAUGCUGCUGGGGGCUGCUGCGGCCUGCGACGGAUGGCGGCUGUUGCUUCCGCUCCCUGAGGAGAUGCCGUCCUUGUGGCGCACAGGGCGGCUACCCACGGUUGCAGCCCGAUGGCUUCAUUCUCGGGACGCGGCCCGUUGGAUGUGCGACGACCGGCACCUUGCGACCGCUGCGGUGACCGGCAGCGGUGCCCGCUCUCCUGACUUGACAACGGACUACAUCUUCGUGCUGCCAUGGGGUGGCGCCACUGGUGGGACGAGCGCCACUGGUGGAGCAGGCGCCAUCUCUGAGGCGGUACAGCCGACCGGCUGGCUAACGGCGUCGAGCGCCUGAUGAAUGCUGCGCUGAGCGGCGAUACUGAGUCGCCGCUCUCGAACUGUCGACGUCCCACUGAGCUUGUUGGACAUGACUACGGGGCAGCCGACUAGACUACAUCCUCGGCCGCGGCCCGUUGGAUGUGCGAUGACCGGCACCUUGCGACCGCUGCGGUGACCGGCAGCGGUGCCCCCUCUCCUGACUUGACAACGGGCUACAUCUUCAUGCUGCCAUGGGGUGGCGCCACUGGUCGGACGAGCGCCACUGGUGGAGCAGGCGCCAUCUCUGAGGCGGUACAGCCGACCGGCUGGCUAACGGCGUCGAGCGCCUGAUGAAUGCUGCGCUGAGCGGCGAUACUGAGUCGCCGCUCUCGAACUGUCGAAGUCCCAGUGAGCUUGUUGGACAUGACUACGGGGCAGCCGACUAGACUUCAUUCUCGGCCGCGGCCCGUUGGAUGUAUGAUGACCGGCACCUUGCGACCGCUGCGGUGAGCGGCAGCGGUGCCCCCUCUCCUGACUUGACAACGGGCUACAUCUUCAUGCUGCCAUGGGGUGGCGCCACUGGUGGGACGAGCGCCACUGGUGGAGCAGGCGCCACCUCUGUGGCGCUACUGCCGACCUUGGACCGGCGGGAUGACGGCGUCGAACGCCCGAUGACUGUGUGCUGGACGGCGAUACUGAGUCGCCGCUCUCCGGGCACCAUCCCCAUCGACCAAGGCCCGGCUGGUGCUUGGCGCCGGGUGCCGGAUGGCCGCUGCGCUCGGCGGCGGUGCUGGGUCGCCGCUCUCUGGAAUGACCGCUGACUCGUCUUUUUGAUCUCGUCUUUGUGUUACCGUCUGGUUAGGCACUGUCAAACUCCCCAAUAUAACCUUUAACACUAACUGUCCGUAUUCUAACAAAACUAACAUGUGAAUCCUUUCCGACCAAUCCCGUUUGACAGUGCCAUAAAUUAUGAAUUGUUCAAUGUGUGAUCCCAAAUUAUAAUCAAUAAACGGAACGGAACGGAAAAAAAA